AGAGUUUGAUCAUGGCUCAGGAUGAACGCUAGCUACAGGCUUAACACAUGGACAAGUCGAGGGGAAACGAUAUUGGUAAGCUUGCUUCCGAUAGGCGUCGACCGGCGUACGGGUGAGUAACGCGUAUCCAACCUGCCCACCACUUGGGGAUAACCUUGCGAAAGUAAGACUAAUACCCAAUGACGUCCCUAGAAGACAUCUGAAAGAGAUUAAAGAUUUAUCGGUGAUGGAUGGGGAUGCGUCUGAUUAGCUUGUUGGCGGGGUAACGGCCCACCAAGGCGACGAUCAGUAGGGGUUCUGAGAGGAAGGCCCCCCACAUUGGAACUGAGACACGGUCCAAACUCCUACGGGAGGCAGCA
RNAcentral lists this ribosomal RNA (359 nucleotides) under uncultured bacterium. Its description in RNAcentral is "bacterial SSU rRNA". It matches the Rfam family "Bacterial small subunit ribosomal RNA", at positions 8 to 353 of the family's 1533-position model. The record is from RNAcentral.